AGAAGCUUAGGUUAAAGAUAAACCAAAGGCCUUCAAAGCCUAAAAUAGGGCCAACUCAGUCCUAGCUCCUG
Molecule: transfer RNA, 71 nt
Filed under: Meroles squamulosus
Lineage: Eukaryota; Metazoa; Chordata; Lepidosauria; Squamata; Lacertidae
Description: tRNA-Trp
Source: RNAcentral